AUUCACAAAAAUCAUGCUUCCAAGGAAUCCUAAAACAGGAAGCCCUUUCACAGAGAUCAGUUUAACUCACUGACCUUCCCAUUCUUCCUAUGCAAAAGGCUCACAGCCUACAUUAAUGUAUGCAAUAUUCAUAUAAAAUUACUGCAAUCUGCAGCAUGAGAUAAGGAUCUGAUUUUCCUUCUUCAAUUUGAUUAAUAGUUUGUUUUUUCGGAUAACCCAGCCACCAUAAGUUCCUUGGAACGACUACUUUAAACUUCUGUGAGCCAAAACAUAAUUUCAGUGACCAAAAUUGCAGGUUAGAGUUACAUAGGCAUCCACCUAUUCACUAUAAGUAGUUAAAAGGAAUGCACACAGUAACAUGAUGGCAAUCAAGGACAUUCAAACACUUCUUCGAGACAAAUGGCAGCAUACAAGCUCCCAAUACUCUAAACUAUUGUAGGAAUUUUCAAAAGAUACUCUAUAUUUGUACAGAGUUGAGUAAUUCAUCACAAAGGAACUUAAGAAGAAAGGAG
RNAcentral lists this long non-coding RNA (512 nucleotides) under Manihot esculenta (cassava). RNAcentral describes it as "long non-coding RNA (MESC_LNC011066)". Lineage: Eukaryota; Viridiplantae; Streptophyta; Magnoliopsida; Malpighiales; Euphorbiaceae. The record is from RNAcentral.